RNAcentral lists this ribosomal RNA (1440 nucleotides) under uncultured organism. RNAcentral's name for it is "SSU rRNA". It matches the Rfam family "Bacterial small subunit ribosomal RNA". The record is from RNAcentral.
CGCUAGCUACAGGCUUAACACAUGCAAGUCGAGGGGCAGCAUUUCAGUUUGCUUGCAAACUGGAGAUGGCGACCGGCGCACGGGUGAGUAACACGUAUCCAACCUGCCGAUAACUCGGGGAUAGCCUUUCGAAAGAAAGAUUAAUACCCGAUGGUAUAAUCAGACCGCAUGGUUUGAUUAUUAAAGAAUUUCGGUUAUCGAUGGGGAUGCGUUCCAUUAGGCAGUUGGUGAGGUAACGGCUCACCAAACCUUCGAUGGAUAGGGGUUCUGAGAGGAAGGUCCCCCACAUUGGAACUGAGACACGGUCCAAACUCCUACGGGAGGCAGCAGUGAGGAAUAUUGGUCAAUGGGCGCAGGCCUGAACCACCCAAGUAGCGUGAAGGAUGACUGCCCUAUGGGUUGUAAACUUCUUUUAUAUGGGAAUAAAGUUUUCCACGUGUGGAAUUUUGUAUGUACCAUAUGAAUAAGGAUCGGCUAACUCCGUGCCAGCAGCCGCGGUAAUACGGAGGAUCCGAGCGUUAUCCGGAUUUAUUGGGUUUAAAGGGAGCGUAGGUGGACAGUUAAGUCAGUUGUGAAAGUUUGCGGCUCAACCGUAAAAUUGCAGUUGAUACUGGCUGUCUUGAGUACAGUAGAGGUGGGCGGAAUUCGUGGUGUAGCGGUGAAAUGCUUAGAUAUCACGAAGAACUCCGAUUGCGAAAGCAGCUCACUGGACUGCAACUGACACUGAUGCUCGAAAGUGUGGGUAUCAAACAGGAUUAGAUACCCUGGUAGUCCACACAGUAAACGAUGAAUACUCGCUGUUUGCGAUAUACAGUAAGCGGCCAAGCGAAAGCAUUAAGUAUUCCACCUGGGGAGUACGCCGGCAACGGUGAAACUCAAAGGAAUUGACGGGGGCCCGCAUAAGCGGAGGAACAUGUGGUUUAAUUCGAUGAUACGCGAGGAACCUUACCCGGGCUUAAAUUGCAUUUGAAUAAUCUGGAAACAGGUUAGCCGCAAGGCAAAUGUGAAGGUGCUGCAUGGUUGUCGUCAGCUCGUGCCGUGAGGUGUCGGCUUAAGUGCCAUAACGAGCGCAACCCUUAUCUUUAGUUACUAACAGGUCAUGCUGAGGACUCUAGAGAGACUGCCGUCGUAAGAUGUGAGGAAGGUGGGGAUGACGUCAAAUCAGCACGGCCCUUACGUCCGGGGCUACACACGUGUUACAAUGGGGGGUACAGAAGGCAGCUACCUGGUGACAGGAUGCUAAUCCCAAAAGCCUCUCUCAGUUCGGAUCGAAGUCUGCAACCCGACUUCGUGAAGCUGGAUUCGCUAGUAAUCGCGCAUCAGCCAUGGCGCGGUGAAUACGUUCCCGGGCCUUGUACACACCGCCCGUCAAGCCAUGAAAGCCGGGGGUACCUGAAGUACGUAACAGCAAGGAGCGUCCUAGGGUAAAACUGGUAAUUG